UUUAUAAAAAUAUUAAUUUGUCAAAUUAAAGAAAGGAGAAU
This 41-nucleotide transfer RNA is filed under the name Argiope amoena. RNAcentral's name for it is "tRNA-Asp". The record is from RNAcentral. Lineage: Eukaryota; Metazoa; Arthropoda; Arachnida; Araneae; Araneidae.